This 49-nucleotide non-coding RNA is filed under the name Trypanosoma brucei brucei. The record is from RNAcentral. Lineage: Eukaryota; Euglenozoa; Kinetoplastea; Trypanosomatida; Trypanosomatidae.
AUAUUUAAUUUCACCAUAGAUUUCUUUAAGUUGUAGAUGUGAUGAUAAU